Non-coding RNA from Haematospirillum jordaniae, 328 nucleotides. It matches the Rfam family "Alphaproteobacteria transfer-messenger RNA". From Rfam's summary of the family: Bacterial tmRNA, also known as 10Sa RNA or SsrA, is named for its dual tRNA and mRNA-like properties. Its role is to liberate the mRNA from a stalled ribosome. To accomplish this part of the tmRNA is used as a reading frame that ends in a translation stop signal. Lineage: Bacteria; Pseudomonadati; Pseudomonadota; Alphaproteobacteria; Rhodospirillales; Novispirillaceae. The record is from Rfam.
UCGCUUGCAUGCACAGGGCAAGACCCUAUAGUCUUGUACUUGCCGGGCUUGCUCGGCUAUGGCGCUAAACCCUUUGCGGAAUAGGCGUAGCGGACCCGGGGGCGGUACCCGGCGUCUCCACCAUCACUCCUCCCUGCCGGGCAGGGUGGAUCUGUGGGGACGAAAUAGGAUCGACGCGCGUAGUAAAGGCCUAGGCUGUGCCCGGUAUAGUAUCCGCCGUUAUCGGGCUGAACUCUACAAGUGCCAACGACAACGUUGAACUUGCCGCUGCCGCUUAAUUGCCGGUAAGCGCGGUCCGGGGGGCACCGGGCAACAGAAGCCCCCCACU